This 633-nucleotide ribosomal RNA is filed under the name Trochulus hispidus complex sp. 140 LK-2014. RNAcentral's name for it is "partial 12S ribosomal RNA". Lineage: Eukaryota; Metazoa; Mollusca; Gastropoda; Stylommatophora; Hygromiidae. The record is from RNAcentral.
GAUUUUGUUACGGUCUAUAUUUUUCUUCACGGUUUUUGACUAUGGAAUUUAUUGAAUUUAUACCAGUCACGAGAUUUUGUUAUAUUGAGAAAUCAAGUACAAGAAACCGAAAUACUCAAGGCCUAGAUGGUGCCAGCAGCCGCGGUCAUACCAUCUUGAGUAGAAAAAAAUAUAAGUGAAAGCAACUAAAAUAAAUAUAUUACUAUUGGUGAAAUAUGUUUUAUAUGGUUACUAAUAUAAGUUUGUAAUUAACACAAAUAUUGCUUACAAACAAGGAUUAGAUACCCUUCUAUGUAGUAUAAAAAAAUCUUCACGGGGUAUUAAAGUAUCUACCCAAACUCAAAUAACAUGGCGGUAAUUUUAAAGCUUAGGGGAACUUACCUAAUAAAUGAUAACCACCAAGGUAAAGCUACUUUAAGUAAAAUUUUGUAUGCCGUCGUCUAGAUUAAAUAAUAUAUUUAAUCCUAAGUUAUAUAAUAACCUAUGACAGAUCUUGGUGCAGACCAUCUUAAAGAUUAAGGCGAGUUACAUUAAUAAAUUCUAUUCUAUCGGUAUAUUUAUAAAACCCAAAUAGUUGGACUUAAUAGUAAGGAUUAUAUUUUAAUUAAUUCCUGAAUAUUAAUAAAAUUGUGU